GGGGUUGUAGCUCAGUGGUAGAGCACUUGCCUGGCAUGUGUGAGGCACUGGGUUCAAUUCUCAGCACCA
This 69-nucleotide transfer RNA is filed under the name Urocitellus parryii (Arctic ground squirrel). RNAcentral's name for it is "Spermophilus parryii (Arctic ground squirrel) tRNA". It matches the Rfam family "tRNA". From Rfam's summary of the family: Transfer RNA (tRNA) molecules are approximately 80 nucleotides in length. Their secondary structure includes four short double-helical elements and three loops (D, anti-codon, and T loops). Further hydrogen bonds mediate the characteristic L-shaped molecular structure. tRNAs have two regions of fundamental functional importance: the anti-codon, which is responsible for specific mRNA codon recognition, and the 3' end, to which the tRNAs corresponding amino acid is attached (by aminoacyl-tRNA synthetases). tRNAs cope with the degeneracy of the genetic code in two manners: having more than one tRNA (with a specific anti-codon) for a particular amino acid; and 'wobble' base-pairing, i.e. permitting non-standard base-pairing at the 3rd anti-codon position. RNAcentral also lists the same sequence under 2 other names. Lineage: Eukaryota; Metazoa; Chordata; Mammalia; Rodentia; Sciuridae. The record is from Rfam by way of RNAcentral.